Long non-coding RNA from Orcinus orca (killer whale), 4019 nucleotides. RefSeq lists it as uncharacterized. NCBI's taxonomy places the organism in Eukaryota, Metazoa, Chordata, Mammalia, Artiodactyla, Delphinidae. The transcript is spliced from 8 exons. The record is from RefSeq and is a predicted model, not a curated record.
UUGCGCGUAGAGGAUCUUUCCUGACUUUCUACUGUGCUGGCGUCUCUCACAUCUCUUCGGCUGGAAUCGGAGCUUUCUGUCCCUUUCUCCUGGCCUUUAGGGGAGUGUGACUUCAGCUACGAGACUUCCUUCGUCAGACUCAGUUACCGCGAGGGACGUGGGUGUGUAUGAGGAGAGACGGUCAGGCAAUUGUGGUGAUGCUUAAGGCCUUUGGGUCGUGACGCACCAAAUCUCAAAAGUGGCGAGAGUGGAAGGAGCCCGGAGAUAGCAAAAGCACCCUAAAUGGAGUAGAGGAAAUGCUUUCACUGGCAUUUUAAAAAUCAUCCUCACAGAACUCGGUGAGGUGGACCUUUGGGUCAUACUCAUGUUACAGACCGAGAGGGACAUCCUGAGAAGUUACUUGCCCAAGAUCACAGAACAGUUCGUAGCAUAGGCACAGCUCAAACCCGAGUCACUGGCUCCCUGUUCAGUUUUCUUUCAAACGAGCUUAGGGUUUAUCUCACUGUUCGGUGUAUCAACACUGUAUAGUGGUUACAUUUUAAAAGUUUUUUUGCAUUCAAGUGUGGACCCUAAGGGGUAGAUUGAGAACUUUUAAAUGGAGGGGGUGGUGCAUAGGACUUACGGCUGAAAAAAGUCUCUUUUGCCCCUGGUUUCAUACAUGCUGAUGGGUCCUAAGAAAAACCUCACUGAUGGAGAAAACCACUGCUGACUCAGAGAGCACGGAGGGCAGAGUCAAGAUGGUGGACCAGGAGGACGCGGAACUCACGUCUCCGUACGACUAGGGCACCUACCAGGCACCAGUGGGGGACCACGGACACCUAAGGGGACAGGAGGAACCCGCAACAACCAGGAGACUGGCCAAGCAAGCUCAGAGGCAAAAACUCAAACCACUCCAUGGAUGGAAGAGGAAAGUGAAGUUAAAAGAUGGAACACCUAAAGGUACCUCUCGGUCCAGCACCUUGUUCCUCCCGCAAACAGCUCAGGCUGGAGAGGUGCAAAGACUGCAUGGGGAGACAAGCUAGUCCCUUGGAACUGUGGAGAGGAAAAGAGUCAGCUUCUCAGAGACGUAUGCGGUGUACAGACUCAGCUCGCCUAUGGAGAUGACCAAAAUGGGCAUUCCUAGCCUACUUACACCCAAUCCAAGUAAGGCUGGAGCUGAUUUCCUUGUUUUGAUACUGGAAAUACUACAGUACAACCUGAUCCGCUGUUUGUUGAAUCCAAGGAUGCAGAACCGUGGCUGUGGAGGAAAUAACGGAUGUGGAGGUACCACUCCUGAGGAGAGUUGACAAUAUGUUAUACUCAAAUCUUCUACUGCGAGGAGGGUCAGCGACCCGAACCCCCUUAGUUAUUCAAGGUCAACUCUUCUCUCCUAUUGUUAUACACUUAGAUUAUUUCCAGUUUUUACCUAUUGUAAAUAUUGUUGUGACUAGCAUCCUUGAACUUAAAUCUUUGGGCAUAUCCUAAUUAUUUACUAUAGAUAAAUUCCUAAAAGUAAUAUUAUUGGGUCAAAAGACAAAUAUUUUUAAAUAGUCACAUGUGCUAUUACCACCCUAAGAUAACCACUGCCAACAAUUUGAUGCAUAUCUUUAGUCUUUUAAAAAAUGAAUAUGUAUGUGCAUGAAUAUACAUUUUUUUGGCGGGGGGAAGUUGUUACUGUGUUAUGUAUAGGAGGGGAUGUACUGAAGAAUUGUAAGCAGAGGAAUGAUAUGAUCUGUUUUUGUUUGUUUGUUUGUUUUGCCGCGCCACUCAGCUUGCAGGAUCUUAGUUUCCCAACCAUGGAUCGAACCUGGGUCCCGGCAGUGAAGGUGCCAAGUCCUAAUCACUGGACCACCAGGGAAUUCCUGAUUUUCAUUUUAGAAGGAUCACCCUGGCUGCCCCGUUAAAGAUAGACUGCAGUGAACAAGAGCAGAGGCAGAGCCCAGGGCGGAGUCGACAGGUCCGAGCGGCUUGCAGCAGAGGGCAGCAUGGAGGGAGUGAAUGGAGGUCAGAUUCUGGAUAUCUUUUUUGCAGGAAGUCAGACUGAAUGUGCAGUACGAGAGAAAAAAAGCAGUGCAGAUUAACUCCAAGUUCUGGAGGCCUGAGCAAUUGGAAGGAUGACACUGACGUCAAGUGACAGGGGAAAAAGGCUGUAGGUGGAGCAGGCUUGGCGAGAGGGAAGAACAGGAAUUUCAUUUGGAGAGAGUGUUUGAGGCGUCUAGUAGGUAUCCAAGUGGAGAGGUCCAGUGGGCUGCUGAAUACGACUUUCGAGUUCUGGGAUGGAAAGGGGAAACGAGUUAUGGUACGACAGAACCUAAAUUCAAGAAAGGCUGAAGAACCAGGAAAGCAUUGGUGUAAAUCCCAGUCCAAGUCUGAAGCCAGAGAACAAGUAGCACCAACGUCCAAGGGCAGAGGAAGAUGGAUGUCCCGGAUUAAGAAGAGACAGAGGGAACUUAUCCUUCCUCUGCCUUUUCUAUUCAGGCCCUCAGUGGAUAGGCUGAUGCCCACCUGCAUUGGUGAGGGUGAUCUUUUUCACUCAGUCUACUGAUUCAAAUGCUAAUCUCCUCUGGAAACAUCCUCCUAGACACACCCAGAAAUAAUGUUUACCAUCUCUCUGGGCACCCCUUAGCCCAAUCAAAUUGACACACAAGAGUAACCAUCACACAGAGAUUCUGGCUUGACCCUCAGUAGAGCUUAUGCAAUGUGGUGCUCUCAGAAUAGAAUUUCUCAAAUUGCAUUACCCAGAUUACUAGUUCAUGAACUCUUAAUAGGGUUCUGUGAAGGAAAAAAUUUCUUUUAAAAAUAUAGAUGUAAUGAAAAUGUCAAACACGCUUGGACAGCUAUUUAUUCUGUGAUAAUUUAUCUUUAAGAAAACAUACACUCCAAACUGCUACCAUUGGGUAUGUAUGGGGAGGAGGUUUUUCCGCUCUCCCCUCUUUAUACGUUUCUGUUAUAAUGUAUCUAAACCUAAUUCUAACUGACUCACAGCCUGAAACAGAUCCAAAGAUAAUGUUCAGUGGAAUCCAUAUUUGACUUUACAGGUAGCAACUUUGUGACUCAUCAGGGAAAGACAAUAUUGUAUGUAGUGGAACCUACAUAAAGGGAAGGUUUCAUCUGAGUUAACAUCUAGACUGGAACCUGACCAACUUUUUUUUUUUUUUUUUUAUGCGGUACACAGGCCUCUCACUGUUGUGGCCUCUCCCAUUGUGGAGCACAGGCUCCGGACGCGCAGGCUCAGCGGCCACGGCUCACGGGCCCAGCCGCUCUGCGGGACAUGGGAUCUUCCCGGACCAGGGCACGAACUCGCGUCCCCUGCAUCGGCAGGCGGACCCUCAACCACUGCGCCACCAGGGAAGCCCUGACCAACUUUUAUUGAUUCAAAUCCUUAACUCAUCCAGGCACUGAUGAGUGCCCACCUGACAAACUGACAUGCAUACUUGAAUAUCUCCCAGGCAUCUUAAGCCUAAUGAGUCUGAAACUGAAACUGAUAUUGCCCAUCCCAGUCACCACCACCACAUGGACUCCUUAUGCCCUGUUUUCUUUGCAGUCAGUGUUCAGUAGAGUUCAUAGCUGUCUACCUAACUUAUCAUGCCAGGAGCCUGGGGCCAUCUUUGACACCUCCUUCCUCAUUUCUAUAUCCAGGUCUUUGUCAAGUCCCAGAAUCUCCCUCUAAAAUACAUUUGGAUCUAUUACUCUCUGUCUCCACUGUCACUUGGAGGGUGAAGCUGUACCAUUUUUUGCCCAGACAACUCCAAAAGCCUUCCCUCUGGAUUCCCAUUCCCUAUGCAGCACCUGGAGAGAAAACACAAACCAGAUCACGAUACCACCAUACUGAAACCUCUUCAAAGGCUCCCGAUAGCAUUAGGAUACAAUCCCAAACCCUACUGUUGACAAAAACAAUCAAUAAACAAUCUACAGUAGGAAUAGAAAAGAGUUUCAUUUGAGCCAAACUGAGGACUAUAGCCCAGAAGACAGUCUCUCAGAUAACUCUGAGGAACUGCUCCAGAGAAGCAUGGUUUUCAGUGCAGUUUUAUGUCUUGUCA